This 339-nucleotide ribosomal RNA is filed under the name uncultured low G+C Gram-positive bacterium 92ev. Its description in RNAcentral is "bacterial SSU rRNA". It matches the Rfam family "Bacterial small subunit ribosomal RNA", at positions 9 to 327 of the family's 1533-position model. Lineage: Bacteria; Bacillati; Bacillota. The record is from RNAcentral.
GAGUUUGAUCCUGGCUCAGGACGAACGCUGGCGGCGUGCCUAACACAUGCAAGUCGAGCGGAGUCACUUUCUUCGGAAGGUGGUUUAGCGGCGGACGGGUGAGUAACACGUGGGUAACCUACCUCAAACAGGGGGAUAGCCUUCCGAAAGGAAGACUAAUACCGCAUAAAAUAUGAGAGUCGCAUGGCUCUAAUAUUAAAGGAGUCGCCUUUGAAAGAAGGCGCAUCCGGUUUAAGAUGGACCCGCGGCGCAUUAGCUAGUUGGAGAGGUAACGGCUCACCAAGGCAACGAUGCGUAGCCGACCUGAGAGGGUGAUCGGCCACAUUGGAACUGAGACAC